RNAcentral lists this ribosomal RNA (617 nucleotides) under Eulimnogammarus verrucosus. RNAcentral's name for it is "SSU rRNA". It matches the Rfam family "Eukaryotic small subunit ribosomal RNA", at positions 15 to 548 of the family's 1831-position model. Lineage: Eukaryota; Metazoa; Arthropoda; Malacostraca; Amphipoda; Eulimnogammaridae. The record is from RNAcentral.
UGCCAGUAGUCAUAUGCUUGUCUCAAAGAUUAAGCCAUGCAUGUCUAAGUCCAAGCUGUGUUCACACGGCGAGACCGCGGACGGCUCAUUAAAUCAGUCGUGGUCCAAAUGGGCCAGUGCAAAUCCUACUUGGAUAACUGUGGUAAUUCCAGAGCUAAUACAUGCAACUGAUAUCCCGAAGGCGGUGUUUGGGCUUGCUUGCCUUGCGCUGCGCUGCUCUGACGGAUGCUUUUAUUAGACCAAGCCGCUGAGGACUUGAGGGUUCGCGCUCUCUUGUCUGACUCGUGUGAUGGUGACUCUGGAUAACCAAAUUCUGACAAGCGCACGUACUUCUCUUCUGAGCGAGACGGCGCUGCCACUUUCGAGUGUCUGCCUUAUCAGCUAUCAACCGUUCGUUAUGCGCGACCGAUGGCUUUGACGGGUAACGGGGAAUCAGGGUUCGAUUCCGGAGAGGCAGCCUGAGAGACGGCUACCACGUCCAAGGACGGCAGCAGGCACGCAAAUUACCCAAUCCCAGCAAAUGGGGGAGGUAGUGACGAAAUCUAACGAUGCGGGCGCCCUUUCUGGGGCCCCGCAAUCGGAAUGGGCACUUUCUAAACAACCUGUUGAGAACCUAC